AUGCCAUCACCAUGGCAGCUGCCACAUCAGUGGUUUCCUGCAUGGAAAAUCCGGCAACUGCAACAGGGAUCACGGCUCGGUCUGCUGCAAAGACGGCACUGCUACCCGCAGUUCAGGUGCUCACCCCCGGUGUCGGCCGACAUGCCAGCGAUCCUGACUCUGAACAGCUUCGCACGAGGUGAAGACAGAGGCGGCAAAUCGUUCUGCGACAACCUCUACCACAAGGACAGCGAGCUGGUGGUGGCGCUGUCCACGGGGUGGAUGCGCCUUGACGGCAAGCUAAUGUGCAACAAGAUGAUCCACAUCAACGGGAAUGGGCGGGCCGUCCUGGCCAAGGUCGUCGACGAGUGUGACUCCGUGUACGGUUGCGACGCAGAGCACAACUUUAAGGCGCCGAGACCAUACAACGAUGUGGACGCGUCGCCAACGGUGUGGAAGGCGCUGGGGCUCAAGAAGAAGAUUGGAGUGUUCAAGAUCACUUGGUCUGAUGUAUGA
Molecule: ribosomal RNA, 495 nt
Filed under: Triticum aestivum (bread wheat)
Lineage: Eukaryota; Viridiplantae; Streptophyta; Magnoliopsida; Poales; Poaceae
Description: partial small subunit ribosomal RNA
Source: RNAcentral